UUCAGUGUAAUGGUGGCGAGUGGUUAACGUGUUGGACUUGAAAUCCAACGGGGUCUCCCCGCACAGGUUCAAAUCCUGUCCAUGAAG
RNAcentral lists this transfer RNA (87 nucleotides) under Petromyzon marinus (sea lamprey). RNAcentral's name for it is "tRNA-Ser (TGA) (tRNA-Ser-TGA-10-1)". It matches the Rfam family "tRNA". Rfam says of the family: Transfer RNA (tRNA) molecules are approximately 80 nucleotides in length. Lineage: Eukaryota; Metazoa; Chordata; Hyperoartia; Petromyzontiformes; Petromyzontidae. The record is from RNAcentral.